Pseudoliparis swirei is the source of this 3254-nucleotide long non-coding RNA. RefSeq lists it as uncharacterized. NCBI's taxonomy places the organism in Eukaryota, Metazoa, Chordata, Actinopteri, Perciformes, Liparidae. The record is from RefSeq and is a predicted model, not a curated record. The transcript is spliced from 2 exons.
GGAGAAAAUGUGUCAACAGUUGUCUCUCCCAUCUGUCUAUGGGGGAUAAUCUAAUCCUGUGUGGGGUCAUGUGAAAAGGUCACAAACCGAUGACUUGAGGUGAUGGACCAACCGGAAAGGUCACUCAAAUGUUGGGGGGUUGCAGAAUAAACAGAGCCGUCAGGGAUCUCCACUUCCUCUUUAGUGGCAAACAGAUGGACUCUGGAAUGUGUACGUCUCGGCGAUGUGUAUAAGAACGAGACGAGCCGAUGAGAAGGGCAGCAUUAAGUCCGAGUCUCCUACAAAGGAGAGUGACAGACUUUGCUCCGCUCAGCUGGGUGUUUCCAUGACUUGUUUGAUGUGAUAUACUUAUAUGUUCCAUGACUUAUUUGUCUAGUUGAAUCACUUGUCCACUUGUUUGUACCUGGCUCACAUUCUGAUCAUUUGUGAACUUGUUACUAUAUAAUAAAGUGUGAUAAGACCACCGUGCUUAGAAUACUCUUGAUUUCUCACAAGGCAGGUGGAACAUUUAUUCCACCACAAAUGGCGACGAGGAUUUGGAUGGACGCGCAGCGCUGGACUCCGGCUGAACGGCAGAUGGCCAUAAUAUAGAUGAAUCCUCCCCCGAGGUUGAGAAGCUGCCGUUCAGACGGAGACCAGGACUGCCGAUCCAACCCAGUUGAAGUAACAACGAAAAACACGCGGUGAGAGAUUAGGAUUAUUUUGAGAUCAAUCAAGUCAUGAAAAUGGAAAUUGGAAAUUUUUUAAAGAAAAAUCUCACAAUCAGGUGUUGUUAACAGACGUGUUUUGAAAACUGUUGGGUUCUCUAGUGGUUCGGAUGCGCCAGGUUGGCGCACACUUCUCAGGGAAAACAGUUAGCAGUUUUUAGAGAUAGCAGCGGUCGCUUACUUACCUUAGUCAUCCAUGUGUAUUGUUUGAAAUUUUGUAUAGAAAAUUUAUUGACGCACACUGCGACAUAAUACACGAAUGAUUAGAGAUGUGUAGUGCUCAGAGUAAGAGUGAGACCGUUGAGAGCCAUGUGGUCCCCAUCCUUCCGCCUCUGUGUAGGUUUAUGUCUGAUCGAUAUCCUGGAAGCUUGGAUCAAAUGAAAAAGUGGAUAGAGAGUGGGUUUCCAUCAAACGGAAGUUUGAGUGAAAAUCAAUUAAAACAGUUGGAGGUAUCACUGGGGGAAAUGGAGAGGAACGCAACAGCUCAGCAUGCAGCCUUAUCAAAGAAAAAGCCGACAAAGAAUGUUAACAAGUGUCAUUGCAUUCACCCAAAUACUGUGUAUUCUUGUCUUUCUGAGAUACUGAGAGAAUCGGUGGCUCCAGACCUGGAUUCCGCCCCCCCCUUUUGCUCCGCCAGCCUGCUUGCAGCAGCCGUCUCAGUCAAAUGCAGCUUCAUCGGACACAGUCCAAGAGGGACACAGACUCUGGAACAAUGCAAAGACCAUCUGAAAGAGCGUUUCGUGAGCGGGACGAGACCAAACUCCGGCAGAUGGUGAGAAAAUCAUAUGUUCCACUAACAGAUGUCAUAAAGCACGCUGAACAUGCUAAGGCGGAGUUGCACAGAAAAGAGAUGCUUGCAACGAUACACGCUUGCAAGGCAAAUACGGAAUAUUCCUCCAUGGCAACUUGGGAGGACAAGAGGUCGAGGCAGAGGCAGAAUGGAUCUGACCUUGGAAAGAUAUGAUUCAAGUGUGUGCUACAACUGCGGAGGGCAUGGACACUGGCGAACAGAGUGUCCGGAGCCCAAAAAGGAAGACCCGCUUUCGACACGGCUGAGCGGAGGGAGGCGGGGGAGGGGCGGAUCCCAGAGACGGACAACCCUCUCCAGGACAAACAAGUAAGGCACACUACACAAAAGGGAAACAAAAGAAGCAAACUUUAACAUUGAUUUUCUAACCAUCUUUAAAGAUGUUUUGACUCAGAAGCUAAAAUCUCAUUUGUAAAAUUGAAAUUCCCAUUAUUUUAGGCUAUAAGAAAUAGCUCAAAACCACUCUGUAGCGAAAAGAGUGAAAAACUAAUAUUAGACCAUGGAGCUUCAGUUGCUCAUGAUCUUUUCACAUUGCACACAGUACUGCAGCAGGAAAUUAUAUGCAGCCAUUACAUUGUACAUCCCAUGUGAGCGUAGGGCCAGACAGAAUAUACGAGGAAGCAUGGUAUGAUCAACAGGUAGAAGCAGAGAGUUUAGACCUGAAGCAUGUUUACUGGUCAGAGAAGGCUGCUGCGGUGUCUGUGUCUCUCUCUCCAUCCCAGGGGAAACUGUUCCUUGGAACCACUCCUCACGUAUCAUUGGCUAAACCGUCACACUGGAAAAGGCAGGAUCUGGGUCCGUGGCUACAACAACGUAUCAACCUCUUGGACUUUAGACCGGGUGCAGAAGACUCGAGGAUCGAAACUAGCGCUAUUGCACUUCACACACAGGUAAAAGCUGCACUUCCCUCACCAGCCACUGCGGUCCAGCAUCACCUGAAACCAGGAGACUGGGUGCUCAUCAAGGAUCAAGGAGGAAGCACGGGAAGCAGAGACACUACGCGGGUCCCUUCCAAGUACCCCGACAACGGAGACGGUGGUGAGAGUGGAAGGAGAACAACGUAGGUCUACGCCAGCCACUGCAAACGCAUCCCAGAUCCAGAAGGAGAAGGAGCAGCUGCGACGGGUCCGGACUAAAGGGGAAGGGUGAGAAAAGCGAGCGCCUUCCUCCAGCAAGUAGUGUGCCAAGCUACCAACAAGCGCACCAUUAGCAGUGACGUAACCAAGCACCUCACUCAUUUUAUGUGGCUGGGAAGAGAGAGGAGGGGAUUGCCAUAGUUUCUCAAACCGCAAAGCUGUCAUAUAUAAAUCAGUGUGGUAGGAGGCGAAAUCAUGUGCGAAGGUGUAGCCACCCAAGAAGCAGCAGCGAUGGAAGAAAGAUCUUCAGCAUCAGGACACUCCUUUGAGGAGCACGGGUGCAGCCAGAGCAAAAGCAUGCACUCACUGCUUUCUCUGAACACGACAGCAAGCCCGGUUCAUCUCACGAAGAAGUGGCAGGAAUUGCCCAACAGGACGAUGUGUUCCCUCUCCUCGUCAGAUUGAUGGAUAUGUUAAUAUAGACGAACAACUUCAUCAAAUAAUAUGUGAGUGGUGUUAAGUGGCCUACCUGUAGGUCAGUAAAGCACAGCCAAAACCAGCACCUAUUGGAUACAUGUACUUUUAAGCCAACACAGGGUCUAUUCGAUUAGAAAAUAGGUAUACAGAGCAUACCUUGAGUAAAUAAAUUCAAAGUCAAGCAUU